Non-coding RNA from Ixodes scapularis (black-legged tick), 74 nucleotides. Lineage: Eukaryota; Metazoa; Arthropoda; Arachnida; Ixodida; Ixodidae. The record is from Rfam.
AUUCCCUGAAAGACAUGGGUAGUGAGAUGAGUUUGACUGCAUUGCCAUCUCACUACCUUGUCUUUGUUGGAAAU